GGAGGUGUGGCCGAGUGGUUUAAGGCAGCGGUCUUGAAAACCGCCGACUCGCAAGGGUCCUAGAGUUCGAAUCUCUACGCCUCCGCCA
RNAcentral lists this transfer RNA (88 nucleotides) under Pseudomonas matsuisoli. RNAcentral's name for it is "tRNA-Ser". It matches the Rfam family "tRNA". From Rfam's summary of the family: Transfer RNA (tRNA) molecules are approximately 80 nucleotides in length. Lineage: Bacteria; Pseudomonadati; Pseudomonadota; Gammaproteobacteria; Pseudomonadales; Pseudomonadaceae. The record is from RNAcentral.